CUGUAUGUCCUGACCGGCGAGCGAACUCUGAUACUUGACAUCCGCAGAGUUAAAACCAUGUAUUCCAAGGAGGACAUAUUUGUCCUCUUCGACAGUAAAGGGUUAAGACCCCUGUACUCCCAAAGCAAACCUCGUCUUUAAUUUUCAGGGAGAGUGAUCUAUACUAUCCCUAUUACUACUACUAUUAUGACUAUUUCCAGGUUAAGAGUGACUACCUGGAGGAUGAAAGCAGGGCGGCAGAAGGCAUGGAUUUCGACACAGCCAUCCAGCUCACUUGCAUCGAAAUCAAGCGAGUCUUUAAGCGGAUGAACGGAUGCGCGAUGGACAAGAAGUCAAAUCUUGAGCAGCCGGAGAAGGAAGUCGGUCUACAUGAAUUCCUACCGGCCUACGUCAUCAACACCAUCAAACAGAAAACGUUACGUAAGGCUUUGCAGGGAAACUUUAAGAAAUUCUCGGCGUUCUUCGAUUACGAAUCUCACUUCAAGUGCCUCGAGAUUUUGGGAAAAGUUGGAAAGUUUGACAUCGAAAACUUCCGCUGUGCACUCGGCUGUGGUUGGUCUAUUCCUGUCACUCUGCUUGUCGGCCCAAGUGUUGGUAUUUCCUACUGGACAGAUUCUGCCUCUGCCGUAGCAGGUACUACAGAAGCCCUCACCAUCACCAUCACCUGCCCCUCCAUUGGCGGAGCAGAGAGCUUAGCAGACCUGGUUGACAGCUACUGCAGGCUUGUCAACCAAUCCAGCAUGUCGCUGUGGACUGUGUGGAGAGAGAGAGAGAGAGAGAGAGAGAGAGAGAGAGAGAGAGAGAGAGAGAGAGAGAGAGAGAGAGAGAGAGAGAGAGAGAGAGAGAGAGAGAGAGAGAGAGAGAGAGAUAGGGGGAGGAGGGACUGUAGGUGAACUUGAAGGAGAAAUAGGAGGAAUGCUCUUUUAAAAGGCUCUAGUUGAAGUUGUAAGGGUUUUUAAGGGUGUUCUUAAGGCUCUAGUGAUAGAUUAACAACAGGAGAAACACUCUUUUAAAAGGCUCUAGUUGAAAUGAUGCAGGUUUUUAAGGAUGUUUUUAAGGUUCCAGUAACAGAUUAACAAUAUUUCUGCAUUACUGACAGGAGAAACACUCUUUUAAAAAAGCUCUAGUCGAAGAUGUAAGGUUUUUAAGGGUGUUUUCAGGGUUGAGGUGACAGAUUAACAACAUCUGCAUUACUGACAGGAAAAACAUUUUUAAAAGACUCUAGUAAAGUUUUUUUUUAUUUUUAUUUUUUUAAGGUUGUAGUGACAGAUUAACAACAUUUCUGCAUUAUUGACAGGAGAAACACUCUUUUAAAAGGUUCUAGUUGAAGUUGUAAGGGUUUUUAAUAUUUUUUAAGGUUGUAGUGACAGAUUAACAACAUUUCUGCAUUAGUGACAGGAGAAACACUUUUGAGAACCUUGCAAACCAUCACUGUGGCUUUAUGAAACAGUCAGUGGUGAGAGACCUGACCUGAGCCUGUGUGACCUGAUCUUCUCCAGGCUCGUGUGUGUGUGUGUGUGUGUGUGUGUGUGUGUGUGUGUGUGUAAGUUUGUUUACUACUACUACUAUUACUCAUAAAAGUAAUAAUAAUGACAAUAAUUAUGAUACUACUACUACUACUAAUACUACUACUACUACUACUACUACUACCACUACUACUACUACUACUGCUGCUACUGCUACUACUACUACUACUACUACUACUACUACUACUACUACUACUACUACUACUACUACUACUACUACUACUACUACUACUAC
Molecule: RNA transcript, 1761 nt
Organism: Scylla paramamosain (green mud crab)
Lineage: Eukaryota; Metazoa; Arthropoda; Malacostraca; Decapoda; Portunidae
Gene name: focal adhesion kinase 1-like
Exons: 4
Source: RefSeq, a predicted model, not a curated record